AGGUUGUCAGCAGUCCUCUUGGGGAGAUGGAAGUGGCCAAAAUUUUUUUUUUGCAUGCAGAAACAAUUAUUUUUUUAAUACAUUUAAUUCCUUUGUCAUUAUUGCUGGGUUUCCAACUCCUUGGAGCUGAAGUGCACCUUUACUUCGGUAGGACUGAGGUGUCUUCAGGGAAUAAAGGAAUAAGAUGAAGUUGGCAAGGAACGUUGCUGUUCCCAAGUCAAAAAGCAGCCAGAGGACAAUGACAGGGUCUCAAGGAGCAGGAGUUGGAAAACUUGUGCACCUGAGCCGGGAGCAGUGGGGAGCUCCAGCCUCGUUCAAGGGAAGGAAAAAUCCACCUGCAGCAAAAUCUCCUGGCUUGUGGGAAUGAGGAGCUCCAGCUCAGCACCAUCCCAGCCCCAUCAAU
Long non-coding RNA from Passer domesticus (house sparrow), 403 nucleotides. RefSeq lists it as uncharacterized. The transcript has 3 exons. NCBI's taxonomy places the organism in Eukaryota, Metazoa, Chordata, Aves, Passeriformes, Passeridae. The record is from RefSeq and is a predicted model, not a curated record.